UCUAGGCCAAAUAAUAAGGAUGCCAAGAUGGCUUUUGGAGACUGCAGUUCUGUCAGACCCGCAGUCUCUCAGCUCAGACAGAGGGCCGGAGGGUGGCGGGCCUGUCGGCUCUGGAACACUUUGAUCUCAGCCGGAAGAUCGGCGUUCCCGUCUCACCCGGCAGGGGGCGCCUGGAUAGCCAUAGGGUCUCUCAAUCCCCUCACCGCUGCUUCCUCACUCCUCCAAGGGAAAAAUGAAUUCGUACAUUUUUGGAGGUCCCUUUCUCUUGAAUUUUGAAUCCACCUUUCAAGAAUAAUUAUAGGGCUAGGACUGUAGAGUGCUUACCUAGUGUGCUUGAAGCCCUGGGUUCAAUCCCCAGGACCAUUUUGGAAAUGAAUCAUCACAACCUCUGCCUUGGUGGCAUAAAUUUGUGUAUGUAUUCAAGCGAUAAAAUCAUUAUUUAACUAAAAAGAAAAAAAUGAAUAAUUGCACCAUUUUUUUAGGUAAGGAACUGUGUGCUUCGUUACCUUUCCACUCUUCCAAGGGAGAUUAAUCCAAGGACUCAGUGCUAAAUAGUGACUCAGCUACCCCACCCUAUAAGCAGCAAACUACUGAUGCUCUAGAAGGCCCACUUUAAGGACACUGAUCAGUGGUGGUGGUGGGGGGGAGUCAUUUUAAAGGACACAAGGAAAUUCUCAGUCUUCAGCUAGUCUCACUCAACAGAUGGGCUUGAUUAGCAGUGAUGAGCUACUGCCAGUUUGAUUAGGAAUAGUGAUGGGAUAUGACCUACUAUCAGGACCCCUGUGAGUCAGAUACAGCCCAGGCCAGGUUCUCCUAAAAGCCACUGAAUGAUCUAAAAAAGAUUCCAUGAUUCUGGCCAGCCUUAGAACUAUAGGCAGCAGCAUCAGGGGAAACAGGACCAGAGCUCUAACAAGAUGGAAAUGAACGGCAUGGAAAGAGGUGGCAAGAGAAUGAACUUAGUCUGUGAUCAGGCAUCAGCCAGGGAUUCUGGAGCCAGUUAAGGGUUUCAGAUUAGGAGCAUAUCAAUGACCCAGGAUCAGAACAAGCCUUUGGAUCAGAGCCAAGUGACCUCUGAAUGACAAGGAACUGGGAAAG
Molecule: non-coding RNA, 1095 nt
Organism: Ictidomys tridecemlineatus (thirteen-lined ground squirrel)
Lineage: Eukaryota; Metazoa; Chordata; Mammalia; Rodentia; Sciuridae
Source: RefSeq, a predicted model, not a curated record